CUCAAUAAGCUGGGGCUUUUAUGGGUUGGAAGGCAAUUCUGUCGGGUUUAGGAGUUUUCUAAAUCAGUGUUGGAUGGUGUCAUCAUUGUGGAGAAUUGCUGUGCAACAACUAGCAGAUGCAGCAAAAGAAUCGUUGUGCUGGGUAUGGCACAGACGAUAGGAGCUGAUCUGAAUGUCUGGAACCAACGAGAAGUAGUUUGGCCACUGCUGUCGACCCAACAACUGGAGGAUGUCAGGGUUUAGGGUCGAAACAUGCGGGGAAGGUGGGCGACCAUCUGAAGACUAAGUUACCAGGCAGAGAUUGUGGCGGACUAAAUCAGGCAUGGACAGGAUGCCCGGACAUCAUAGCAGAUCAAUCUUUAUCUUCAAGGCUUCAUGUGUUUGGAAUCUGUGUGUCGCUGUAAAAGGAUGUCUUAUGUACCAACAUGACCUACAUAUUACCUUGGCCUUUGAACUCAAAGAUUGCUUGUAGAUUUGAUAGAAAGCAUGUCCAAGAAAGAACUGGUUUUCUUUCUUUCUGGCAGUGCUUUAUAAAAUAUUUGGCAUACAGAGGUAUUUGCUACAUCAUAAAUCAACAAUGUGUUUCGACCUCCAAAUAAUGCAAAUUGAUAAUGAAUUUGAACAAGUACGUCUGUCAGAAAAAGAAUGUUUUCAGUCUAGAAUUAUGAUAUUUUGCUUGUGACUGUUUCAUCAUUGGAUGAUGUGUGAUUAUACACAUAUGUCCCUGAGACCUUUGAUUCCUUGAGUUUAAGUGUUUCUUCUUUUUUUUUACCAGAAUAAUUGUACAUGUAAAAGUUUUUUUUGUCUGUUAUCCAUAUGAUCAUUAUGAUGUUUGGUAUGUAAGUGAUACAAUACAAAAUGUGUAAAGUGGCAUCAUGAUCUCUGUAUGACUACAUUUAUUGAAUUAGAAGGGUGUGAAGUAUUUUUAGUGUACUAAAUCAAGCUUUUUAUUUAUGUCAGCGACUUUAAUCUUUAUGUUACACAUCUGUUGCACACCCUUUGUUUUAAAGCUAGCUACACAACAUAUAUUGAUACAUGCUUUAUUCACGGUUCAUUUGUUUUGGUAAAAAUGCCAAAAGUUACGCCAUAAUAAUAUUUUCUGCUUGUGUGUGUUUCUUGUUUGAAAUUUUGAAAACAAACACAAGAAAAACAAAUUAUAUCCAAUUGCCAUGCAUUGUAUAUUUACACCAGUGAAUAAACUAAUGUGAUGGUAAUUGUU
Molecule: long non-coding RNA, 1219 nt
Organism: Saccostrea echinata
Lineage: Eukaryota; Metazoa; Mollusca; Bivalvia; Ostreida; Ostreidae
Exons: 2
Source: RefSeq, a predicted model, not a curated record